This 544-nucleotide ribosomal RNA is filed under the name Trichoderma atroviride. RNAcentral describes it as "partial 18S ribosomal RNA". The stretch from base 164 to 317 matches the Rfam family "5.8S ribosomal RNA". Lineage: Eukaryota; Fungi; Ascomycota; Sordariomycetes; Hypocreales; Hypocreaceae. The record is from RNAcentral.
CCCAUGUGACCAUACCAAACUGUUGCCUCGGCGGGGUCACGCCCCGGGUGCGUCGCAGCCCCGGAACCAGGCGCCCGCCGGAGGGACCAACCAAACUCUUUUCUGUAGUCCCCUCGCGGACGUUAUUUCUUACAGCUCUGAGCAAAAAUUCAAAAUGAAUCAAAACUUUCAACAACGGAUCUCUUGGUUCUGGCAUCGAUGAAGAACGCAGCGAAAUGCGAUAAGUAAUGUGAAUUGCAGAAUUCAGUGAAUCAUCGAAUCUUUGAACGCACAUUGCGCCCGCCAGUAUUCUGGCGGGCAUGCCUGUCCGAGCGUCAUUUCAACCCUCGAACCCCUCCGGGGGGUCGGCGUUGGGGACCUCGGGAGCCCCUAAGACGGGAUCCCGGCCCCGAAAUACAGUGGCGGUCUCGCCGCAGCCUCUCCUGCGCAGUAGUUUGCACAACUCGCACCGGGAGCGCGGCGCGUCCACGUCCGUAAAACACCCAACUUCUGAAAUGUUGACCUCGGAUCAGGUAGGAAUACCCGCUGAACUUAAGCAUAUCAA